RNAcentral lists this long non-coding RNA (1221 nucleotides) under Marmota monax (woodchuck). The record is from RNAcentral. Lineage: Eukaryota; Metazoa; Chordata; Mammalia; Rodentia; Sciuridae.
GUGGUCUCGUUGUCAACUGGACUUGGACACACAGCCCCAUGGCUUCAGUAGGAGCAUGUCCUAUUCCAACCCGUACUUAAAGGAGGGGUUAUGACUGGAGGAGGUAAGAAUCACCAGAGUUGUGUCCCCCCAACCUUCGCCUGGGGAACUAGGUGCAGGUCUUCGCUCUCAGUUUCCCAAAUCUGUCCCCUCCCCUCUGGGCAUAUUCCUCUGGGACUCACCCUGAGCAAGUGAUGGGCAGGGCCCAGGACCCCUUCUCAGGGACAUGGCACUAGAGAACAUCCUGUUCUUCUCCAAACUCAAUCCUGGCAAUCCUUGACUCCUUAAAAGCAAAAAAAAAACAAAACAAAACCCCCCAAACCCUCACUCUGAUUGAUUAUGAAUUCUCCCAAAUCUAUUAUUAAUGGAACCUUUCUAUACCUAGACUCUUUUAAGGCCUUGACUUCUGAUGCUCCAGAUCUAGGAUUUUGAAACUCAGAAAACAAUUCCUUCAAACUCUUGUGUUGGGAGAGCCCCACCCGCCAUGGAACUAGAUCAACGAUCCCCUCUUCUGUCUUUGGGGCAGGGAUUCUGAUGAGCAUCAUGCACUGAGCUCUGAAAACCCUGGUGUUACUGAGCUCCGCCUGUGGCAGACCUAAGGACAGGACUUUGGUGGAUUUCUCUCCUUGGCUGUCUCCCUGGGCCUGUACACCAUUCUUGUUCCCUGAGGUUUCUUCUUGAGCCAAGCCUCCUGCCCAGAGCGUUUGUCUCAAGGCUUGAUUUCUGGAAUGGAGUAGGAAUCCUGGCCAAGGCAAUUCCCUGGUCUGGAUUAGAUUCUAGACUAAAGAUUUGAUUUAUAAUAACUCAUUUAACCCUCAUCACAUCCUACAAGGUAGCUGCGAUUGUCCCCAUUUUAUGUGGAAGUAAAGGUUCAGAGAGGUAAAAUGACUUGGUCAGGGUCUCAGGGCCAGGAAGUGGUGGGGUUGGGUUGGAACCUGGGUCUGUUAAGUUCCAAGGCAGAGAUCAGAGUUAGCUCUCCUGCCUGGAAUCACAGUCCCCUUCAGACUGCCAUUGGUGCCACUGGGGUCCUUCUGGGGGCCUUGGAGGACCCCUCCACCACGAGCGAGCCCUGUCUUUGUUCCGCAUCUUUGGCCUGCACCAGGCCCCUGGGAACCAAGGUUCUAAAAUUGCCAAUUCAGGACCUUGGCCAGGGGCUCAGAUGCUCCCACCCUUCUGAAUUCU